GUAGGAGGCGAGCGUUAUCCGGAUUCACUGGGCGUAAAGCGCGUGCAGGUGGCUUGGUAAGUUAGGCGUGAAAUCUCCCGGCUCAACUGGGAGAGGUCGUCUAAUACUACCGGGCUAGAGAGCAGAAGAGGAAGAUGGAAUUCCCGGUGUAGUGGUGAAAUGCGUAGAUAUCGGGAGGAACACCAGUGGCGAAGGCGAUCUUCUGGUCUGUUUCUGACACUCAGACGCGACAGCUAGGGUAGUAAACGGGAUUAGAGACCCCGGUAAUCCUAGCCGUAAACGAUGUGAACUUGGCGUUGGUGGGUUAAACUCCAUCAGUGCCGAAGCAAACGCGAUAAGUUCACCGCCUGGGGACUACGGCCGCAAGGUUA
This 371-nucleotide ribosomal RNA is filed under the name uncultured organism. RNAcentral describes it as "bacterial SSU rRNA". It matches the Rfam family "Bacterial small subunit ribosomal RNA", at positions 527 to 896 of the family's 1533-position model. The record is from RNAcentral.